CACGUAGGGGGCGAGCGUUGUCCGGAUUUAUUGGGCGUAAAGAGCUCGUAGGCGGUUUGGUAAGUCAGAUGUGAAAGUCCAGGGCUCAACCCUGGGAAGCCAUCUGAUACUGCUAUGACUUGAGUCCGGUAGGGGAGUGUGGAAUUCCUGGUGUAGCGGUGAAAUGCGCAGAUAUCAGGAGGAACACCAGCGGCGAAGGCGGCACUCUGGGCCGGUACUGACGCUGAGGAGCGAAAGCGUGGGGAGCGAACAGGAUUAGAUACCCUGGUAGUCCACGCCGUAAACGUUGGGCACUAGGUGUGGGACCUUAUCAACGGGUUCCGUGCCGUCGCUAACGCAUUAAGUGCCCCGCCUGGGGAGUACGGCCGCAAGGCUAAA
This 378-nucleotide ribosomal RNA is filed under the name uncultured bacterium. RNAcentral describes it as "bacterial SSU rRNA". It matches the Rfam family "Bacterial small subunit ribosomal RNA", at positions 524 to 898 of the family's 1533-position model. The record is from RNAcentral.